AUGCAACUUUGACCCCACAUGGUAUGGCAUCAGGAAAACUGAUUAAUACGUCCUCAAAUUGCAUACCAUCCAACUGUGGCCACCCUUUUAUGUAAAACUCGCAAUUUUCAAACCCAAGGAUAUCUUCCCAGAUCUGUGCGAGUCCUGGCUGCCGCGCACAUUGAAUCAUCAAGCGACCAAUGACAUCAUGAGCUACAACAGUUUCAACAAGAUCUCCACCAACAAGUUUUACAAGGACCUCAUUGUCAAGGUCACUGAGUUCAACCACAAUGUGCCCUCUCAGGCCUUCUUUCACUCCCGUCAGACUUAAAACUGUUCUCAAUGCACGAGCAUCACUCUGGUCAGCAUUUCCAUCUUCGGCAAGGACAAUUAUUGCACGGGCCUUGGAGACAGAUACCUUUUUAAGGUCAGCAAGAAUCAGAGGACUUCCGCUUCUGCAUAUGACUUUAGUCCCUUUGAAGUCAAACUCCAUUUUAGCAAUGUCCAUUUCCAUCUCCUCUUUGUCUCGUUCAGCCAUCACUACAACAAUCCCUCCGCCC
RNAcentral lists this unclassified non-coding RNA (539 nucleotides) under Hevea brasiliensis (rubber tree). Lineage: Eukaryota; Viridiplantae; Streptophyta; Magnoliopsida; Malpighiales; Euphorbiaceae. The record is from RNAcentral.